UACAGAGGUCUCAAGCGUUGUUCGGAUUCAUUGGGCGUAAAGGGUGCGUAGGCGGCGCGGUAAGUCGGGUGUGAAAUCUCGGGGCUUAACUCCGAAACUGCAUUCGAUACUGCCGUGCUUGAGGACUGGAGAGGAGACUGGAAUUUACGGUGUAGCGGUGAAAUGCGUAGAUAUCGUAAGGAAGACCAGUGGCGAAGGCGGGUCUCUGGGACAGUUCCUGACGCUGAGGCACGAAGGCCAGGGGGAGCAAACGGG
RNAcentral lists this ribosomal RNA (255 nucleotides) under uncultured bacterium. Its description in RNAcentral is "partial 16S ribosomal RNA". It matches the Rfam family "Bacterial small subunit ribosomal RNA", at positions 524 to 776 of the family's 1533-position model. The record is from RNAcentral.